This 396-nucleotide ribosomal RNA is filed under the name uncultured bacterium. RNAcentral describes it as "bacterial SSU rRNA". It matches the Rfam family "Bacterial small subunit ribosomal RNA", at positions 30 to 430 of the family's 1533-position model. The record is from RNAcentral.
AUUGAACGCUGGCGGCAUGCCUUACACAUGCAAGUCGAACGGCAGCGGACCUUCGGGUGCCGGCGAGUGGCGAACGGGUGAGUAAUAUAUCGGAACGUACCUUUCAGUGGGGGAUAACGUAGCGAAAGUUACGCUAAUACCGCAUAUUCUGUGAGCAGGAAAGCAGGGGAUCGCAAGACCUUGCGCUGAUUGAGCGGCCGAUAUCAGAUUAGCUAGUUGGUGAGGUAAAGGCUCACCAAGGCGACGAUCUGUAGCGGGUCUGAGGGGAUGAUCCGCCACACUGGAACUGAGACACGGUCCAGACUCCUACGGGAGGCAGCAGUGGGGAAUUUUGGACAAUGGGCGCAAGCCUGAUCCAGCCAUGCCGCGUGAGUGAAGAAGGCCUCGGUUGUAAGU